GGUCUCGGACAGUGUCUGGUGGGUAGUUUGACUGGGGCGGUCUCCUCCCAAAGCGUAACGGAGGAGCACGAAGGUUUGCUAAUCACGGUCGGACAUCGUGAGGUUAGUGCAAUGGUAUAAGCAAGCUUAACUGCGAGACAGACAAGUCGAGCAGGUGCGAAAGCAGGUCAUAGUGAUCCGGUGGUUCUGAAUGGAAGGGCCAUCGCUCAACGGAUAAAAGGUACUCCGGGGAUAACAGGCUGAUACCGCCCAAGAGUUCAUAUCGACGGCGGUGUUUGGCACCUCGAUGUCGGCUCAUCACAUCCUGGGGCUGAAGUAGGUCCCAAGGGUAUGGCUGUUCGCCAUUUAAAGUGGUACGCGAGCUGGGUUUAGAACGUCGUGAGACAGUUCGGUCCCUAUCUGCCGUGGGCGUUGGAGAAUUGAGAGGGGCUGCUCCUAGUACGAGAGGACCGGAGUGGACGCAUCACUGGUGUACCAGUUGUCUCGCCAGAGGCAUUGCUGGGUAGCUAAAUGCGGAAGAGAUAAGUGCUGAAAGCAUCUAAGCACGAAACUCGCCUUAAGAUGAGUUCUCCC
RNAcentral lists this ribosomal RNA (573 nucleotides) under Glaesserella parasuis HPS9. RNAcentral describes it as "bacterial LSU rRNA". It matches the Rfam family "Bacterial large subunit ribosomal RNA", at positions 2243 to 2815 of the family's 2925-position model. The record is from RNAcentral. Lineage: Bacteria; Pseudomonadati; Pseudomonadota; Gammaproteobacteria; Pasteurellales; Pasteurellaceae.